Molecule: long non-coding RNA, 1423 nt
Filed under: Helianthus annuus (common sunflower)
Lineage: Eukaryota; Viridiplantae; Streptophyta; Magnoliopsida; Asterales; Asteraceae
Description: hypothetical non coding rna
Source: RNAcentral
UGUUAAUGACAGCGUCAAGAAUGAUUUGGAUGGGAUUAGCAUCGGUGAAAAGGUGGAUGAUCUCCAUAUCGUGCUUGACGAUGCAAACAACCAUCAACCUUUUUACGGUUGUUUCUCCAUAGCAUGCUUGACGAUGCGAACAACCAUCCAGUACUGAUGCAUCCAGUUCUCAUGAGUACCCCCUAGAAGCAGAAUGGACAGAACAGAGACCCAGCAACAUCAGCUUCUGUAGUCUUCUAAAGAGCAGCUGAUCCGAGGUACCCCUUUGGGGAGCCAACAUCGUCACCAGCAUGAAAAGACCCAAGAUACAGGUCCGAUGGUGGAUUAUCCAGUGAACUUGCAGCGAUGUGGAUUUCCAAAGGACCUGCAGCAGCACUUUCUGAAUAUUAUCAUAAUUUAUGGAGUUCCACAAUAGCGGCAGGUUCAGGUAGCAACUCAUUUGUAACUAUUUGGUUGAAAAGGUUGAGUAGUUGAGUCACAUAUAUAACCUCAUGAAACUAAUAUAAAGAUUACUAAAAAUUGGAUCGUCAAUGUAUACGACCUCCUAAAUAGUUCUACUCAAAAAUCAUAUGAUUAGCAUAUUUAAUGCUUUAAUCAAUUGUAAAAGACUAUCCUGAAACUUAACCAAAAAAAAUUCAAGCAUUAACCACAUUUCCAUAUUAGAAAUCUGUGACAUUCUUCAUGAGAAACAAUAAAAUAUUCUUAAUUUACCCUCAAAAUUCUCUUAAUAUGCCAUUUCACAAACAUUAGAAGCAAAAACUUAAUAUCAUGGUCAAAGAAUUUACUUAACCACAUUGAAAAAAUCUACGUUGAGCUCCAAAGGGUCUUUGGACACAAUCAAGAAGCCCAUGAUAUUCGAAUAAUAAUAAUAAGUAAUAAGAAUCCCAUGCCAUUUUUUUCCAAAAAGACACCAGUUAUAUUUUUUAUAAAGCCCCAAUUCGUUUUUCUAUUGGCUUUCUAUAACCCAUGAUGGGUAACCCAUGAUAGGUAAUAAAGUAAGAGUCUAAGGGGCUGUUUGGCUACCAAACAGCCCCUAAGAAAGUAUCCGGUGUCAGUGAAGCUAGAUUUGUGUGAAACUAUAAUUAACUAAUAAUAUUUUAAAAAUGUCAGGGUUGUGACAACAUAGUAAUCAUCUAAGGGUUGUGACGACAUACUUGGUAGCGCCACCAUGCAUAUAGCGGAGAUGCAUACACAUCUGAAUCGUGCCCAAAGCAAUCUUCAUUCUUCUUGAGCAGGUCAACGUAGCACAUACUCAUUUUUUAUCACAUAAACUUUGAUGAACUGAUAUCAGUAUUGCAAACAGAACCAAAUAACCAAAUAAGUGCAUAACAGAACCAAAUAACCAAAUUUGAUUUCGUUUUAGUUUAAUGGUUUUCUAACCAUUAAUCAAUCAAAAACAAAGACCAGAAAGUUCAGGACUUAC